Molecule: long non-coding RNA, 1111 nt
Organism: Austrofundulus limnaeus
Lineage: Eukaryota; Metazoa; Chordata; Actinopteri; Cyprinodontiformes; Rivulidae
Exons: 2
Source: RefSeq, a predicted model, not a curated record
CAUCGACGUGGAACGUAGCAUUAUGGGAAACGUUUUCACCAGAUAACUCAAUCUGAAUGAAGUCAUUUCUAUGGGAUAAAGCUUCAACCCUGUCAGCGAGAUUUGACAGAAUACUCAUAACAUUUGUGUAAUAUUCGGCUAAAUUCGGUGCAUUAUCUGAACGAGGUAAAAAAAAAAACCUGUUGCCGAAUUUCACGGUUAUUAAAUYGUUCACGAGUAGAAAUUUGCGCAUUUUGAAUCUUUUCUGUUGAGAGUCCUGCUCCGUAUUGACGAAUGUCAUCUGAAGGCACAGCCCCGAAUCCUGAAACGAAUUGAUUAAGCUUGUGUAGAGCAUUUUCACUCUGAGAUAAAUUUUGUAAAGAGUUUUCAUCUUCCUGGAUUUGAGAAAGAUCUGAUACAGCUUUCUCUAAAAGUUGAAAAUAUUCAUCUGUCUGAGAUCUUUCUUCCGGACGAGUCUCCUGAGAAAUUAUCUCGUCAGGAGAAAUAUGUGUCAAGUUUACAGGCAAAGGGAUUUCCCGUAAUCUGUAUAUUUCAGCUUGCAAAUCAUAAAAAGGAAGAUUUGAAAUUGCUUUGUCCGAAGUGUGGAAAAAGUCCACAGUUUGCCGUCUUUCAUUUAAAUGAUUUUCCUGAGAAAUUAUCUCAACAGGAGAAUUUUGGAAAGAGUUUACAUUGACAGGUAACGGAAUUUGUCUUAAUUCAUCUACGGCUGAUUGAAGGUGAUUUAUUACGUUAAGUGACAAAGGAGGUUCUGACAUUUUUUCUAGGUACAACGAGCAGAAAAAAUCUUACAGUUCGUCCAAUAUUCUGACGCACAGGUCCAUGGUCUUGCUGAGUGCGUCAAGACAGCGACGUUUCAGGAGGGCCGGAGAAAAAUCAUCAGAACAUCCUGUAUUCUGUGGAUCUGCUCCGGACGACUCCAAUGGACUGAACUCUAAAAGACUCUUUGGGCUGGGAGUCCUGUGAUAGGCUGGACAAAACUGUCACAUGGUGUUGACAUAAUGUAUAUUAUUGGCUGUAUUCUGCUGACGCGUUCAGUCGCAAGCAUGCAGAACCUUCCUGAUUCAGUUCUGUUUGUUUGUUGCUCAUAAUUAAACCAUAUUUGAUUAUCGUA